GACGAACGCUGGCGGCGUGCUUAACACAUGCAAGUCGAACGCUGAAGCUUGGUGCUUGCACUGGGUGGAUGAGUGGCGAACGGGUGAGUAAUACGUGAGUAACCUGCCCUUGACUCUGGGAUAAGCCUGGGAAACUGGGUCUAAUACUGGAUACGACAUGUCACCGCAUGGUGGUGUGUGGAAAGGGUUUUACUGGUUCUGGAUGGGCUCACGGCCUAUCAGCUUGUUGGUGGGGUAAUGGCUCACCAAGGCGACGACGGGUAGCCGGCCUGAGAGGGUGACCGGCCACACUGGGACUGAGACACGGCCCAGACUCCUACGGGAGGCAGCAGUGGGGAAUAUUGCACAAUGGGCGGAAGCCUGAUGCAGCGACGCCGCGUGAGGGAUGACGGCCUUCGGGUUGUAAACCUCUUUCAGCACGGAAGAAGCGAAAGUGACGGUACGUGCAGAAGAAGCGCCGGCUAACUACGUG
Molecule: ribosomal RNA, 472 nt
Filed under: uncultured bacterium
Lineage: Bacteria
Description: partial 16S ribosomal RNA
Rfam family: Bacterial small subunit ribosomal RNA
Source: RNAcentral